Camelus ferus (Wild Bactrian camel) is the source of this 73-nucleotide transfer RNA. It matches the Rfam family "tRNA". Rfam says of the family: Transfer RNA (tRNA) molecules are approximately 80 nucleotides in length. Their secondary structure includes four short double-helical elements and three loops (D, anti-codon, and T loops). Further hydrogen bonds mediate the characteristic L-shaped molecular structure. tRNAs have two regions of fundamental functional importance: the anti-codon, which is responsible for specific mRNA codon recognition, and the 3' end, to which the tRNAs corresponding amino acid is attached (by aminoacyl-tRNA synthetases). tRNAs cope with the degeneracy of the genetic code in two manners: having more than one tRNA (with a specific anti-codon) for a particular amino acid; and 'wobble' base-pairing, i.e. permitting non-standard base-pairing at the 3rd anti-codon position. The record is from Rfam. NCBI's taxonomy places the organism in Eukaryota, Metazoa, Chordata, Mammalia, Artiodactyla, Camelidae.
GCCCCAGUGGCCUAAUGGAUAAGGCACUGGCCUCCUAAGCCAGGGAUUGUGGGUUCGAGUUCCACCUGGGGUA